RNAcentral lists this long non-coding RNA (2072 nucleotides) under Homo sapiens (human). Its description in RNAcentral is "non-protein coding CFAP58-DT:9". The record is from RNAcentral. Lineage: Eukaryota; Metazoa; Chordata; Mammalia; Primates; Hominidae.
AGAUGGAGACACCCAGGAGAAAGAAGAGGGCGAAUUGGAAGAGGCCACCCAGAAAGGACGGUGUGUGACACUAGGGAGCCAAGCAUGGAGAGCCGAGGACUAACGCUUGGAAGGAAAUGUGGACCAGAAGGUUCCGGAUGAGGGAAGGACUGGCGGCUACACUCUGCCUUCCGAGACAACGAGGAAUAAUCUCACUUCAGUCAGUUCAACCCUUGUAAAACAGCUACUGUGUGCAAGACACGGAGGGAAAGCUGAAGUAGAGAAACCACAGACGCUGUCUUCAAAGGGUUUAAUCUAAUAUUAGUGAUGAGAAAAAUAGGGUGCAGAGCUUAAGGCAUCCUGGAAAAACAUAUCUUUGAGAAGCCUGGACAUCAAUCUGCUUUAGAAGACUAGAAACUCUGCCUUUAUGUCUUUAAGGGAACAAUAGUCCUUAACUUUGAUACUGUGGCUCUUUAGCUCUUUUUUUCCCUAUAUUUUUUAUAUAGUUUUUUGGUAUUAUUUAGACCUCCUUAACCCCACGGUCAUAAAGGUAUUCUCCCAUCAUUUUUUUCUAUCCAUUAGCUUCAUAGUUUUACUUUUUUACAUUCAGUUAUCUAAUCCAUCUGGAGUUCUCCUUCCCAUAUGGUGUGAGAUAGGGAUCUAACUAUAUUUUUCUCCAUGGGGUGAGCAAAUUUUCCAACAACCCAUGUCAAACAAUCCAUUCUUUCCAAAUUGGUUUGGGGAAGUUUCCAAAUAGACAUGAGUAUGUUCUGAGCUCUCUGGUUUGUUCAUGUGUCAGUACCACAAGGUUUUGUCACUGUGGGUUUUUAGUUAGUCAUCAUGCUUGAAGGGCAAGUUCCCCAUUCCAAAUUCUUCUGUGUUAAGAUUGCUUUGUCUAUCCACGGGCCUUUAUCCUCCCUUAUAAUGUUUAGAGUAAGUUUGUCAAGUUUAUGAGAACUGUGUUGGGUUGAUGAAUAAAUGCAAGGAAAACUGGCAACUGUGCAGUGACAUCUCAUUCAUGACCUGACACUGUAUAUCUGGUGGACAAAAAGAGGGAAAUGUGGCUGAGUCAUAAUGUGCAUGGAGGUUGCUGGAGAGGUGGCAGAUGAACUGGAGAGGCAGGCUGAACCACACUGUAAGCCAAGCUAAUAGAAAUGAGCUUGAAAUGGGACAGGCAACCCAGCUCAGGCUGCUUUGUGUGUUCACAGGAAACCUGAUUACACAUUGGGACCAUCGGUUUGUAGGAUUGCCAUGAUCCAGAGAAACUCCAUAACAUUUCUGAAAGUAUAUAACAAAAAUAAAGACCUAGAGGGCCCUGGUCACCCAUACGUUGCACUGAUGUCAAGUGCAGGGCUGUGUGUCUUCCCAUGUCCAAGGGAUCUCCUAAAAGAGCUUUCAUAAGUAGGUGCCCUGCAUAGGUGACAGCAGUUCAAUCCAGUAAACAAUUUUUUAAGGAACGUACUGCAUGGUAGGCACAAGGCUGCCCACAGGAAGCACCAAGGUGACUAUGGCAGAGUCACUGCCCUUUGCAUUCACAAUCUGUAUUAGGGGAAAGACAGAAGGGAACAUCUACAGUUAAUUCUAAUGCAAUAAGAUGGUAUCAUUUAGUAUAUGCCAUUUUAACAGAAAGCACAAUGGGAGCUCAGAGAAUCUAGAUACUGGUAUCUGAGACCUUACUUAUAGGAGGACAAAAAGACCCAAAUAUGACUGAGCAAUCAAAGAACCACAAGGAGGUAGAAAGGCGCGUGACAUGUUCAGCUCAUAGGAAAGAGAUGCAGGGGGCAUCAACACAGAUGGAUGAAUGGAUGAAAGGAUGGGUGGUCGGACAUAUCAAUUUAUGCUGAUGAAACAAAAUGUUUGAUUUCCAAUUUUCUGGAUUACAGAAGACUAGUCACCACCCUGCUCCCCUGUGUUGUUGUAAUAACAAGAAUCACUAGGUGGCAUUAUAGUAUCAAAGUCCUCACCUUUCAGAGCCUCUAGGAGAAACACACCCAACAAGAUCGCGUCAGCCCCUAAUUUAGACAAAUGAGUGCUUCUAUUCAUCUCAUUUCUCAUUAUAUCCACUUAAUUUAUUUCUUGAGCACCUACUAUAU